Molecule: ribosomal RNA, 676 nt
Filed under: uncultured bacterium
Lineage: Bacteria
Description: bacterial SSU rRNA
Rfam family: Bacterial small subunit ribosomal RNA
Source: RNAcentral
GUGUCAUUAAGACGUGAGUAACGCAGCUAACGCACUAAGUUGACCCGCUGGGGAGUACGGCCGCAAGGUUAAAACUCAAAUGAAUUGACGGGGGCCCGCACAAGCGGUGGAGCAUGUGGUUUAAUUCGAUGCAACGCGAAGAACCUUACCAUCCCUUGACAUCCAGUGAAUUUUCCAGAGAUGGAUUAGUGCCUUCGGGAACACUGAGACAGGUGCUGCAUGGCUGUCGUCAGCUCGUGUUGUGAGAUGUUGGGUUAAGUCCCGCAACGAGCGCAACCCUUAUCCUUAGUUGCCAGCGCGUAAUGGCGGGAACUCUGGGGAGACUGCCGGUGAUAAACCGGAGGAAGGUGGGGACGACGUCAAGUCAUCAUGGCCCUUACGGGAUGGGCUACACACGUGCUACAAUGGCGCAUACAAAGGGCAGCAAGCCAGCGAUGGUUAGCGAAUCUCAUAAAGUGCGUCGUAGUCCGGAUUGGAGUCUGCAACUCGACUCCAUGAAGUCGGAAUCGCUAGUAAUCGUGGAUCAGAAUGCCACGGUGAAUACGUUCCCGGGCCUUGUACACACCGCCCGUCACACCAUGGGAGUGGGCUGCACCAGAAGUGGUUAGUUUAACCUUCGGGAGAACGAUCACCACGGUGUGGUUCAUGACUGGGGUGAAGUCGUAACAAGGUAGCC